CUGGUCUGUUCAGUCAGGAAUCACAUCAGUAGUGUCUCCAGAGGAGAGAGGAUCUCUGCCUGUGGAUAAACAAGGUUGCAUCAACAACAAAUUUGACCAUCCCAAUAUUGAAGAAGUGAUCUGGGCUUCAAAGACUGUGGUUCAUCUUCUAAGACCAUGACUGUGGAGGAUGAACUCAGCAGGUGCAUCAUCCAGGAGAAGGACAGAUAUAGUUAAACGAGAAUAUUGUGUCCAAAUUUAAUGUGUCUAUUGAUGCCUUCAGAGAACUUCAUGAGCGAUGAUUGUGUUAUUAUGUGCACAACCAAAGGAACUGCAGCCUUGGUUACACACCUACUUUUUAUGAACUGAAACCCAAUGAGUAUUCUGGAAAUAAAGCAUGUUCUGUCACCUGA
This is a long non-coding RNA of Mugil cephalus (flathead mullet), 392 nucleotides long. RefSeq lists it as uncharacterized. The transcript has 2 exons. NCBI's taxonomy places the organism in Eukaryota, Metazoa, Chordata, Actinopteri, Mugiliformes, Mugilidae. The record is from RefSeq and is a predicted model, not a curated record.